AGUUUUAUAUUUUAUUAUAAUAAAAUUAUGAAUUGCAAGUUCUUAGAAGGUUUAAGCCUAAAACUU
RNAcentral lists this transfer RNA (66 nucleotides) under Cicadellidae gen. sp. 1 JCX-2018. Its description in RNAcentral is "tRNA-Cys". The record is from RNAcentral. Lineage: Eukaryota; Metazoa; Arthropoda; Insecta; Hemiptera; Cicadellidae.